This 72-nucleotide transfer RNA is filed under the name Ovis aries (sheep). It matches the Rfam family "tRNA". Rfam says of the family: Transfer RNA (tRNA) molecules are approximately 80 nucleotides in length. Their secondary structure includes four short double-helical elements and three loops (D, anti-codon, and T loops). Lineage: Eukaryota; Metazoa; Chordata; Mammalia; Artiodactyla; Bovidae. The record is from Rfam by way of RNAcentral.
UCCCUGGUGGCUCAGACAGUAAAGAAUCUGCUUGAAAUGCAGGAGACCUGGGUUCAACCCCUGGUUUGGGAA